UAUCUCUGUAGAGUCUGCAUAUCAAUAAGCGGAGGAAAAGAAACUAACUAGGAUUCCCUCAGUAACGGCGAGUGAAGCGGGAAGAGCUCAAAUUUGAAAUCUUCAAGGUUCUACCUUGACAAAUUGUAGUUUAAAGAAGUGUUUUCUGUUGGAGUUUUGGUAAAAGUUCUUUGGAAUAGGACAUCAUAGAGGGUGAGAAUCCCGUAUUUGACCAUUAUUUCCAGCUUUGUGAUACACUUUCAAAGAGUCGGAUUGUUUGGGAAUGCAGUCCAAAAUGGGUGGUAAAUUUCAUCUAAAGCUAAAUAUUGGCGAGAGACCGAUAGCGAACAAGUACCGUGAGGGAAAGAUGAAAAGAACUUUGAAAAGAGAGUUAAACAGUACGUGAAAUUGUCAAAAGGGAAGCGUUUGACACCAGUGUUGUUUUCUCGAAAAUCAAUUAAAAAAAGUGGGAUUUUGUAUUGUUAUGACCUUAUCAGCUUACUGUACUCUUUUCUUGCUUUUUUUAAUGCACUUUUCGUUUAACAAGUCAACAUCAAUUUCUUUUGUUGUAAAAGAGUCAUUGGAAGGUGGCUUUCACUUCGGUGAAAGUGUUUAUAGCCUUUGGCCUCUGCAAUCGGAGAGAUUGAGGUCUGCAGCGUAGAUCCUUCGGGGUUAGAUACAUUUGUGCUAAGUUGUAGCUUUUCAUAGACAACUUGUUGACUAUGUUUAGUCAUGCGGCUUACUCGCUUGUGCUAUUUUACCUACGCUUAGGAUGUUGACGAGACUGUCGAUCUC
This 774-nucleotide ribosomal RNA is filed under the name uncultured Neocallimastigales. Its description in RNAcentral is "partial large subunit ribosomal RNA". It matches the Rfam family "Eukaryotic large subunit ribosomal RNA", at positions 24 to 646 of the family's 3401-position model. The record is from RNAcentral. Lineage: Eukaryota; Fungi; Neocallimastigomycota; Neocallimastigomycetes; Neocallimastigales.